Molecule: ribosomal RNA, 379 nt
Filed under: uncultured bacterium
Lineage: Bacteria
Description: bacterial SSU rRNA
Rfam family: Bacterial small subunit ribosomal RNA
Source: RNAcentral
AACGAACGCUGGCGGCGUGCUUAACACAUGCAAGUGGAGCGACGAACCAGGCUUCGGCCUGGGGCAGAGCCGCGAACGGGUGAGUAACACGUGGGUAACCUGCCUCGAUGACCGGGACAACCCGGGGAAACCCGGGCUAAUACCGGAUGUGCUCUCCUCACAUCAGUGGGGAAUGGAAAGGAAGCUUCGGCCUCCGCAUCGAGAUGGGCCCGCGGCCCAUUAGCUUGUUGGUGAGGAACGGCUCACCAAGGCUGCGAUGGGUAGCUGGUCUGAGAGGACGAUCAGCCACACUGGGACUGAGACACGGCCCAGACUCCUACGGGAGGCAGCAGCAGGGAAUCUUGCGCAAUGGGCGAAAGCCUGACGCAGCAACGCCGCG